Molecule: long non-coding RNA, 521 nt
Filed under: Homo sapiens (human)
Lineage: Eukaryota; Metazoa; Chordata; Mammalia; Primates; Hominidae
Description: HSALNT0301894
Source: RNAcentral
CAAGCCUAAAGAGGCCCAUGCUCAUGGAGCUAAAAGGGCAUUGCAAUGGCAACAUGUUGCUCUUUGGGAACAGGAAAAGGAUACAACCAGUAGUAGGCAUUCCGGGGACCUCUGACAGAUGGAGUCUUGCUCUGUCGCCCAGGCUGGAGUGCAGUGGCGUGAUCUCGGCUCAUUGAAAGCUCUGCCUCCCGGGUUCACGCCAUUCUCCUGGCUCAGCCUCCCGAGUAGCUGGGACUACAGGCACCCACCACCACACCCGGCUAAUUUUUUUGCAUUUUUAGUAGAGACGGGGUUUCACCGUGUUAGCCAGGAUGGGCUCGAUCUCCUGACCUCCUGAUCCGCCUGCCUUGGCCUCCCAAAGGGCUGGGAUUACAGGUGUGAGCCACCGCGCCCGGCCCAAAUUCUUAUUUUUUCAUUUACUUCGGGCCCUCAUUCUUAUUUUUCAUUUAAUUUGAUGUAUUUCACUAUUGCUUUCAUAUGCAUUUCCCUGAUUACUAAUAAAUUCAUAUGUCUUUUUUAUG